GCUGGCGGCAGGCUUANNCACGCAAGUCGAGCGAAGCCUUCGGGCUUAGCGGCGGACGGGUGAGUAACGCGUGGGAACGUGCCCUUCACUACGGAAUAGUCCCUGGAAACGGGGUUUAAUACCGUAUACGCCCUUCGGGGGAAAGAUUUAUCGGUGAAGGAUCGGCCCGCGUCUGAUUAGGUAGUUGGUGGGGUAAUGGCCUACCAAGCCGACGAUCAGUAGCUGGUUUGAGAGGAUGAUCAGCCACACUGGGACUGAGACACGGCCCAGACUCCUACGGGAGGCAGCAGUGAGGAAUCUUGGACAAUGGGGGCAACCCUGAUCCAGCCAUGCCGCGUGAACGAUGAAGGCCUUAGGGUUGUAAAGUUCUUUCACCGGAGAAGAUAAUGACGGUAUCCGGAGAAGAAACCCCGGCUAACUCCGUGCCAGCAGCCGCGGUAAUACGGAGGGGGUUAGCGUUGUUCGGAAUUACUGGGCGUAAAGCGCACGUANGCGGACCAUUAAGUCAGGGGUGAAAUCCCGGGGCUCNACCCCGGAACUGCCUUUGAUACUGGUGGUCUGGAGUUCNAGAGANGUGAGUGGAAUUCCCANGU
This 593-nucleotide ribosomal RNA is filed under the name uncultured bacterium. RNAcentral describes it as "bacterial SSU rRNA". It matches the Rfam family "Bacterial small subunit ribosomal RNA", at positions 35 to 675 of the family's 1533-position model. The record is from RNAcentral.